GAUGAACGCUGGCGGCGUGCCUAAUACAUGCAAGUCGAGCGAACAGACGAGGAGCUUGCUCCUCUGACGUUAGCGGCGGACGGGUGAGUAACACGUGGAUAACCUACCUAUAAGACUGGGAUAACUUCGGGAAACCGGAGCUAAUACCGGAUAACAUGUUGAACCGCAUGGUUCAACAGUGAAAGACGGUCUUGCUGUCACUUAUAGAUGGAUCCGCGCCGCAUUAGCUAGUUGGUAAGGUAACGGCUUACCAAGGCAACGAUGCGUAGCCGACCUGAGAGGGUGAUCGGCCACACUGGAACUGAGACACGGUCCAGACUCCUACGGGAGGCGGCAGUAGGGAAUCUUCCGCAAUGGGCGAAAGCCUGACGGAGCAACGCCGCGUGAGUGAUGAAGGUCUUCGGAUCGUAAAACUCUGUUAUUAGGGAAGAACAAAUGUGUAAGUAACUAUGCACGUCUUGACGGUACCUAAUCAGAAAGCCACGGCUAACUACGUG
This 497-nucleotide ribosomal RNA is filed under the name uncultured bacterium. RNAcentral's name for it is "partial 16S ribosomal RNA". It matches the Rfam family "Bacterial small subunit ribosomal RNA", at positions 28 to 507 of the family's 1533-position model. The record is from RNAcentral.